GUGAGUCAUCGAAUCUUUGAACGCACCUUGCGCCCUUUGGUAUUCCGAAGGGCAUGCCUGUUUGAGUGUCAUUAAAUUCUCCACUUCAAAAAGCUUUGCCUUCUUUGAAGCUUGGGACUAUGGGGGUCUGCUGAUGUCAUUGUCAGCUCUCCUUAAAUGCAUUAGCAGAACUUUCGAGGACUAGCUUUGGUUUGAUAAUCCUAUCUAUGCCGUCGCUGUGUCCUUUGCGUUCAGCUUCUAAUGGUCUUCGGACUGUCUCUUUCAGAGGCAUACACUUUUAAGCUUGACCUCAAAUCAGGUAGGACUACCCGCUGAACUUAAGCAUAUCAAUAAGCGGAGGA
This 341-nucleotide unclassified non-coding RNA is filed under the name Clavariaceae sp. RNAcentral's name for it is "partial contains 5.8S ribosomal RNA, internal transcribed spacer 2, and large subunit ribosomal RNA". The stretch from base 1 to 71 matches the Rfam family "5.8S ribosomal RNA", at positions 84 to 154 of the family's 154-position model. Lineage: Eukaryota; Fungi; Basidiomycota; Agaricomycetes; Agaricales; Clavariaceae. The record is from RNAcentral.